This 489-nucleotide ribosomal RNA is filed under the name uncultured bacterium. Its description in RNAcentral is "bacterial SSU rRNA". It matches the Rfam family "Bacterial small subunit ribosomal RNA", at positions 350 to 836 of the family's 1533-position model. The record is from RNAcentral.
AGCAGUGAGGAAUAUUGGUCAAUGGCCGGAAGGCUGAACCAGCCAUGCCGCGUGAAGGUCAGUGCCCUAUGGGCGUUAAACUUCUUUUGUGCGGGAGCAAUAAGGUCCACGUGUGGACCGACGAGAGUACCGUACGAAUAAGCAUCGGCUAACUCCGUGCCAGCAGCCGCGGUAAUACGGGGGAUGCAAGCGUUAUCCGGAUUUAUUGGGUUUAAAGGGUGCGUAGGCUGUGAGGUAAGUCAGCGGUGAAAUGCCCCCGCUCAACGGGGUGAAGUGCCAUUGAUACUGCCUUGCUGGAAUGCGGAUGCCGUGGGAGGAAUGUGUGGUGUAGCGGUGAAAUGCAUAGAUAUCACACAGAACACCGAUUGCGAAGGCAUCUCACGAAUCCGCUAUUGACGCUGAUGCACGAAAGCGUGGGUAUCAAACAGGGUUAGAUACCCUGGUAGUCCACGCUGUAAACGAUGAUGACUAACCGUCGGCGAUACACAG